UUUCCGUAGGUGAACCUGCGGAAGGAUCAUUAAAGAAUCGCCCCGUUUUUUAUACAUGGGUUCUAUUCCCAAACCGUGUAUACAUACCUUUGUUGCUUUGGCAGGCCGCCUCCGGGCGUCGGCUCCGGCUGAUAGUGCCUGCCAGAGGACCCAAACUCUGUGUUUAGUGAUGUCUGAGUACUAUAUAAUAGUUAAAACUUUCAACAACGGAUCUCUUGGUUCUG
This 224-nucleotide unclassified non-coding RNA is filed under the name plant metagenome. RNAcentral describes it as "partial contains small subunit ribosomal RNA, internal transcribed spacer 1, and 5.8S ribosomal RNA". The record is from RNAcentral.